UACGUAGGGGGCAAGCGUUGUCCGGAAUUAUUGGGCGUAAAGAGCGUGUAGGCGGCCCGGUAAGUCCGCUGUGAAAGUCCAGGGCUCAACCCUGGGAUGCCGGUGGAUACUGUCGGGCUCGAGUCCGGAAGAGGAGUGUGGAAUUCCUGGUGUAGCGGUGAAAUGCGCAGAUAUCAGGAGGAACACCAGUGGCGAAGGCAGCACUCUGGGACGUGACUGACGCUGAGACGCGAAAGCGUGGGGAGCAAACAGG
Molecule: ribosomal RNA, 253 nt
Filed under: uncultured bacterium
Lineage: Bacteria
Description: partial 16S ribosomal RNA
Rfam family: Bacterial small subunit ribosomal RNA
Source: RNAcentral